UACAGAGGUGGCAAGCGUUGUUCGGAAUUACUGGGCGUAAAGGGCGCGUAGGCGGUCUUGUAAGUCUUGUGUGAAAUCCCUCGGCUCAACUGAGGAACUGCACGGGAUACUGCGAGACUUGAGUUCGGGAGAGGGAAGCGGAAUUCCGGGUGUAGCGGUGAAAUGCGUAGAUAUCCGGAGGAACACCGGUGGCGAAGGCGGCUUCCUGGACCGACUACUGACGCUGAGGCGCGAAAGCUAGGGGAGCAAACGGG
RNAcentral lists this ribosomal RNA (254 nucleotides) under uncultured bacterium. Its description in RNAcentral is "partial 16S ribosomal RNA". It matches the Rfam family "Bacterial small subunit ribosomal RNA", at positions 524 to 776 of the family's 1533-position model. The record is from RNAcentral.